RNAcentral lists this ribosomal RNA (439 nucleotides) under uncultured bacterium. RNAcentral describes it as "partial 16S ribosomal RNA". It matches the Rfam family "Bacterial small subunit ribosomal RNA", at positions 339 to 795 of the family's 1533-position model. The record is from RNAcentral.
CUACGGGACGCUGCAGUGGGGAAUAUUGCACAAUGGAGGGAACUCUGAUGCAGCAACGCCGCGUGGAGGAUGACACUUUUCGGAGCGUAAACUCCUUUUAUAUAGGAAGAAGAUGACGGUACUAUAUGAAUAAGCGCCGGCUAACUCCGUGCCAGCAGCCGCGGUAAUACGGGGGGCGCAAGCGUUACUCGGAAUCACUGGGCGUAAAGAGCGUGUAGGCGGAUUAAAAAGUCAGAAGUGAAAUCCUAUAGCUUAACUAUAGAACUGCUUCUGAAACUCUUAAUCUAGAAUAUGGGAGAGGUAGAUGGAAUUUCUGGUGUAGGGGUAAAAUCCGUAGAGAUCAGAAGGAAUACCGAUUGCGAAGGCGAUCUACUAGAACAUUAUUGACGCUGAGACGCGAAAGCGUGGGGAGCAAACAGGAUUAGAUACCCUGGUAGUC